Molecule: small nuclear RNA, 106 nt
Filed under: Suricata suricatta (meerkat)
Lineage: Eukaryota; Metazoa; Chordata; Mammalia; Carnivora; Herpestidae
Description: U2 spliceosomal RNA (ENSSSUG00005002517.1)
Rfam family: U2 spliceosomal RNA
About the family: U2 is a small nuclear RNA (snRNA) component of the spliceosome (involved in pre-mRNA splicing). Complementary binding between U2 snRNA (in an area lying towards the 5' end but 3' to hairpin I) and the branchpoint sequence (BPS) of the intron results the bulging out of an unpaired adenosine, on the BPS, which initiates a nucleophilic attack at the intronic 5' splice site, thus starting the first of two transesterification reactions that mediate splicing.
Source: Rfam by way of RNAcentral
AUUGCUUCCCAGCCUUUUGGCUAAGAUCAAGUGUAGUAUCUGUUCUUAUAUUCCGUUCUAAUAUUAAAUUAUGGUUAUGGUGGGCAGCUCUGUAAAUAUAACUAAA